Molecule: non-coding RNA, 107 nt
Filed under: Desulfurobacterium thermolithotrophum
Lineage: Bacteria; Pseudomonadati; Aquificota; Aquificia; Desulfurobacteriales; Desulfurobacteriaceae
Also listed under: 1 other name
Description: TPP sequence
Rfam family: TPP riboswitch aptamer (THI element)
About the family: Vitamin B(1) in its active form thiamin pyrophosphate (TPP) is an essential coenzyme that is synthesised by coupling of pyrimidine and thiazole moieties in bacteria.
Source: RNAcentral
AACAAGCCGCAGGGGUGGAGCUUUGGCUCCUGAGAGCUCCCAGUAGGGAGCAACCCUUUGAACCUGAUCCGGGUAAUACCGGCGUAGGGAGCGGCGAGAAUUUUCUU